Molecule: ribosomal RNA, 870 nt
Filed under: Triticum aestivum (bread wheat)
Lineage: Eukaryota; Viridiplantae; Streptophyta; Magnoliopsida; Poales; Poaceae
Description: partial small subunit ribosomal RNA
Source: RNAcentral
AUGGCGCCCCCGAAGCUCUCCUUGCUGGUGCUCCUCGUCCUCCUCCUCCCGGCGGCCGGCAGCGCCGGCGCCAACGACGUGGCCGCCGACGCGCCCCCGGUCGGGGCCGCCGGCGGCGGCGGCUUCAACGUCUCGGAGAUCCUGGCCAAGUUCCCGGAGUUCACCCUCUUCAACUACCUCAUCAGCAAGACGCGCGUGGCCAAGGACAUCAACAGCCGCAACUCCGUCACCGUGCUCGCCCCCGUCAACGCCGACGUCGACUGGCUGCUCCGCCGCAGCGCGCGCCUGCCGCGGGCCGCCUUCCUCGAGCUCCUCUCCGUCCACGUCGUCCUCGACUACUACGACGCCGCCAAGCUGGCUGCCCUGCCCCGCGGCCGCGGCGCCAAGCCCGUCGUCGCCACCACGCUCUACCAGACCUUCGGCCCCGCCAACGGCGACAAGUCCGGCUUCCUCACCAUCACCCCCGCGCCCGACGGCGGCGCCGUCUUCGCCUCGGCCGCCCCCGGCGCGCUCGUCAACGCCACCUUCAACAAGGCCGUCACCGCCAGGCCCUACAACAUCUCCGUCCUCCAGAUCAGCAACUUCGUCGUGCCGCCCGGGGUCAUCACCAAGCCGCGCGCCCCGCCGCCGCCCAAGGUGAUGAGCUCCGUGUCGGCCGUCGCGCCCAGCCCCGCGCCGGUGAGGUCGCCGUCGCCGUCCCCGUCGUCGCUCCCGUGCCCGCCCGUGACCAUGCCCAUUGAGGAGCCCAUGGAGGAGACCCCGGCGUCCGCGCCGGCGCCGUCGCAGGGCCACGCGCUGCAGGCGAUGAUGGGCUGGUGGUCCGCCGCCGGCGUGGCGCUGGGAAUGGCGUGCGUGCUGGCGCACUUGUAG